CCUCCCCGCGGCUGCUAUUUGACUUCGCAGGCUUCCAGCUGCGCGGCGGAGCGACGUCACCCUGUGCCAGUGGUGGCUCGCGGCGGCGCCCCGCCCUCCCGAGGUUAGCUCCCCAGCCAAAGAGGGGGCGCGCUUGCGCGGUGGGUGGGGCCGCGAGACUUGGUACCUAGCCAGCGGGCGGAGCGCGGAGGGGGUUUCGCUUCGGGCUAAGGGACUGUAGUUGUGACAGCCAGGAAACCGAGAACGGAAUGCCAAUACUGCUUAGGCUUAGAGUUUGAAAGGCAUCUGAUUUCACUGCCAUGUCUUUGAACAGCAGUGCACAGUGCAGUCUUCUUCGUGGCUGAACAGCCACUCGAUGUCUUUUGAUUGGAGAGUUUAAUCAAACAGAAGGAGUCUUCCAUUGUGGCCACCACAGCUGGGAAUGAGCUAAGGUCUUGCUAUGUUGCCUAGACUGGUUUUGAACUCCUGGGCUGAAGCAAUCCUCCCACUUCGGCCUCUCAAAGUGCUGGGAUAUCAGACAUGAGCCACCUGCCAUGCUUGGCCUAUAAUCAUGAAAAGAUCAACCCCAAGAAAGAAAAGGAAACAUGGAAGGACCUGGACUGGAGUCACGCCAGUACAAGGAGGAUACUGGCAAAGAUGAGCAGAGCUGAAUAAUUGUAUUGGAGAAUGUGUGGCCCACAAAGCUUGACUAUCUGGCCCUAUACAGAAGAAGUUUGCUGAUCUCUGACUUAGCUGCCUAGGAAUAGCCAGGCAACCAGCUGCUACUUUGAGCACCCGGCUAAAAUAAGCAGAGACAACUGGAAGGCUUGAUGUGAAAAAGAGCUGUUGAAGUGUACACAAGCAAGCUGACUGCCUUAUGACUAAUACUUGACAGAACCCAGCAAGAGGAUAUGAGAUUGCAGAUGGAUGACCUCAAUCCUGAACAGAAAGGCGUGCAUGAUAAUGGAGAGAAAAAAGCCAAUGGGGAAAAAAAACCCACCACUAUUUUUUUAAUAGCCUAACACACACACAAAAAACUGGUUUUCCUUUUUCUGUAAUGUGUCUGUAGAGCUGGCUAUUCUGAUUAAAGUUGCCCUUGAAAAAGCAAUUAACUUAAGAGUCUUACUGGAAGUUAAAAAUCCCAAGGGGCAGGAAAAAUGAGUGUAUGGGAAGCCCAGUCAACAGGUCAGAAGGUACAGCUGGGAGGUUUUAGCAUUACGUACCGUGUGUUUUUCGUUUAAGGGAGAAGCUUAUUUGCUCACUGCUAUAGUUUGGA
Molecule: long non-coding RNA, 1255 nt
Filed under: Homo sapiens (human)
Lineage: Eukaryota; Metazoa; Chordata; Mammalia; Primates; Hominidae
Description: HSALNT0320809
Source: RNAcentral